CAGCCGCCGCGGGAAUACCGAGGGUGCGAGCGUUAAUCGGAUUUACUGGGCGUAAAGCGUGCGUAGGCGGCUUCUUAAGUCGGAUGUGAAAUCCCUGAGCUUAACUUAGGAAUUGCAUUCGAUACUGGGAAGCUAGAGUAUGGGAGAGGAUGGUAGAAUUCCAGGUGUAGCGGUGAAAUGCGUAGAGAUCUGGAGGAAUACCGAUGGCGAAGGCAGCCAUCUGGCCUAAUACUGACGCUGAGGUACGAAAGCAUGGGGAGCAAACAGGAUUAGAUACCCGCGUAGUCCCUGUCUCUUAUAC
This 301-nucleotide ribosomal RNA is filed under the name uncultured bacterium. Its description in RNAcentral is "partial 16S ribosomal RNA". It matches the Rfam family "Bacterial small subunit ribosomal RNA", at positions 509 to 807 of the family's 1533-position model. The record is from RNAcentral.